AUAGUGGUGCCUGGGUGGCUCAGUUAAGCAUCCAACUUCGGCUCAGGUCAUGAUCUCCCGAUUUGUGAGUUCGAGCCCCACAUCAGACUCUGUGCUGACAGCUCAGAGCCUGGAGCCUGUUUUAGAUUCUGUGUCUCCCUCUCUCUCUGCCCCUCCCCUGCUCGUGCUCUGUCUCUGUCUCUCAAAAAUAAAUAAAUAUUUUUUUUUAAUUUUUUAAUGAAUAUAUAGAUCAAUGUGAAUUUUUCUUACCUCCUGCCCCUUUCCCAAGCAACCAACUGGACCACAGUUUUUUGUCAUUUUCAUAGGGACCCAUUUCAGCCUUUGUUGAAUGUUUGUGUUGAUACUAGAGGAAAUUUCUUACUACUCUCGAAGUUCUGUUUCAUGUUGUUUCAGUCAUUGGGUUUUGCUUUAGUACUGGUUUUUUGGUCCCCCCCACCCCCACUGCAGCCAGAAUGACUAUGUUAUCACCUAAAAGUGUCCCCUCCAACAGGGGUGUGCUGGUUUUUCUAAAACAUAUAAAUACAAGAUGCCCAGUUUAAUUUAAAUUUCAGAUCAACAAUGAAUACAUUUUUUAGCAUAAGUAUAUCCCCAAUGCUUUGUGGACCAAACUCACACUGAGAAAUUAUGGGUUGUUGAUCUAAAAUUCAAAUGUACCUGGGUGACCUGGAUUUAGGCUGGCAGGCCUACCUCAGGAGCUGGGUGUGGCCUAGAGGGUACUUCUGCAUCCUCAGGAAGAAGUUUUAUUCCCACCAGAGGCCCAAGCUGAGGCACUGAAGGAAAAGAGAGAGGCCCCAUAUAUUCCUGGAAUGGGGACAGAAUAUGGCUGUCUGAAAGCAAGGAAUGGGUUUGGUCAUGUGGGAUUCUGAAUCUUGCCGCCUCUGCAAGGGACCACCCAAGCAGGCUGUCCUCUCGUCUGAGGACUUAUUCUGAUUUAGUGCCAACCACAGAUCUGGUUAGAAGAGACCAACUACCUGCAUGUUAAUGUUUGAUAUGCUUGUACAUUUCAAAUCGAUAAGCAGCAAGUGGUGGUCAAACACACCCUCUUCUUUGGUGAGGUCAGUGUGUGACCCCAUGAAAGGAAAAUUUUGCUUUCAUGUAAUAACUUGAGAUUGGUUUAUUUUAUCCCAAAGCUUUUUGCAAUCAAAUAAAGCUGAUUUUUGAAGCAGGAUAAGAAGUAAUAAGUACCACAAAGCUCAUGAGUGUGUUGUUGUAGUCAUUUUUUCAGCUUUCACUGUUACACAAAAUCCCAUUCACUGGAACCAGGAUUCCAUACCAUCUGCCCCCUGGGAAACUCUGAUAAUCUGCUGGCCUAAAAGGUCCAGGUAUCUGAAAGUGGCAGGUCAGCGAGGUUUUACAAAGGCCUGUCUGAAGACAGUUUACAACUUACCCUUUUCCAAGAUUCAGCCAAUUCUUUAUUCAACAAAUAUUUAUUAAAUGGCUACUUUGUGCCAUGCACUGGGGAUGCAGGAGUGAACAAGACAAAAUUUCAGACUUCAUGGUGCUUCCAUUCUAGAGGACAAGACAACAAGCCUCUGUACAGAUGCUCUCCUGCCUCCCAUAGAGAAGUCUUCUGUCUCACGUGGAAAGCAUUCCUUGACACUACUGUUGCACCAGCUGGUUAAGGAAACUGCAGCCCAGGGAGAGAGAAUGAGGUGCACCAUAUCACAGAGCUUGAAUGUGACAGAGUUGGGAUUUGAAUUCAGGGAAUCUAACUCCAACGCCAAGAGUAAGUUGGGACAGGAAAAUGUUUGGCUCUAAGUGAAGUACUGUAAAUGUGAAGUAAGAUGUUAACUGAAACUCGGUCACAGUACUCAGCCAAUACCAGACUCCCUUCUUUCAAACCUCUGUUUUCCCAGAGAGGGUUCUGCGUGUCUUGGAAAAGGCCUUGCUCCGGGGGUCAGGCACCGUGACCUGCAGUGGACUCACCGCGAGAGAGCACCCAGGACCAUGAAGGGCAGUCAGCAGGCUAGAAAGAGUGCAGCAAACAGAAACUGUGAGGGCUGAGGCCCCAGGAGAGCUCUGCACAGAUUUAAACUCCCCUUAGGAAUUCAUCCUUCUUCCCAGACCUCCACUCAUUGGAGCAACUUUAUUUAAUGUUACCUGUAGCUUUGCUUCUGGGAUGCCAUUGUAGCCAGCCUGCUUACCAAAAAGAGGGUUUUGUGACAUCUAGUAGGGUGAGACUCCUGGGCUUCUCAGUGGGAACCUAAAGCUAAUUAAAGAAUGAGGCACUAAAGGGGCACCUGGGUGGCUCAGUCGGUUGAACCUCCAACUUUAGCUCAGGUCAUAAUCUCACAGUUCAUGAGUUUGAGCCCCACGUUGGGCUCUGUGCUGAUGUCUCAGAGCCUGGAGGCUGCUUCAGAUUCUGUGUCUCCCUCUCUGUCUGCCCUUCCCCGCUCAUGCUCUGUCUCUCCUUCAAAAAGAAAUAAACAUUAAAAAAAAUGAGAUACAUUAAAAAGAAAAAAAAAUGUUAAUAGGCUUUACAUCCAGUGCAGAACCCAACACAGGGCUUGAACUCACAACCCUGAGAUCAUGACCUGAGCUGAGAUCAAAAGUUGGACACUUAACUGACUGAGCCACCCAGGUGCCCUGAGACACAUUUUAAAAUCUUAGUCCUGCUCAUAUUAUAUUGAUCCAUCACCUCAAAUUUUAAUAAAAAUUUAAUAUCCAACUUUGACUAGGUUACCUUGAAUUUGAGUUCCACUAAACUGAAUCAAACUUAUAUAGAGAAUUAGUAACUGUUACUGAAUCAUAUGAACUUGACUGAAUUCGAAUGUUUCUUUUCGCUAGAAUUGGUUAUUUGGUCAAGUUUAAUGUUGUUUUGUUUGCUUUUUAAAGCAGUCUUGCCGAGGCUCUCAAGCACUCACUAUGUGUCAGGCUCUGUGCUAGGCGCUGGUGAAUCAAAGCAACAUGAUUUGUCCCCCAGAAGCAGACUAAAGAUUCUUGUGAAAAUGAUUUCUUAAUGCAGUGUUCCCGGGAGACCCUCGUAAAGCAGAGGGUGGGGUUGGGGGGCAGGAGGAUAGAACUAGUAAAGGAAGAAGGCAAGCCAGGUGGCGCUCUCAGGCAAAACUCCAGUCUCCGGCAGUUCCUGCAGGGAGCUCUGGAGGGUAACUACACCUCCAAGUUGUGUCCUACUCAAGAGGAAGGAGUAGGCUUUCCUAGUCCUGUGUUAGCACUCACUGGCUACAGGCCACACCCCUCCCCCCCCCCCCCCACCGCGUCUCCCCACCACCCCCGCUCAGCCCCCAGGAUGGAAACACUCAGGCUUUUCUGUCUCCCUGCACCGAGGAAAGCCUUGACUAAUCCUGACCCAGGCUCUACUGUUAGCAGCAAAGGUUUAAGGCAGCUAAGGGAGGGGAGCACAGAAACAGAAGAAGGAUGGGAGGGCAGCUGGGCAGAGCAUGGACCAGGCUACCACCUACUCCUUACAGAGUUUGUCAUCUACUGGGUUGGCCCAAGGGAGCCACGACAAGAAAACAGGUAACUAUGUCAUUAUUGUAUGUGAUGAGUGCACAUGGGCAAUGAACAGAGUGUGAUUUUUAGAGACUAACCAGUGAGUAUCUAGUUGGAAUGGUCGCCAGAGGUGGACAUUGUCAACCCGCAGGCAUCCUUUACCCUUUGCUCUUCUCUCCUCUCCCCCAUGGCUUUCAAUGGAACUGCCAUCUGACCACCCUGAGGGGAUAUAUAUGAGGACCAAAGUUCUAAGAAUGGCUGGGUAGAAGGGUAGAACCAUCCCUUGUCUCUGGUGGCAUCAUGGAGCCAGUGUACCAUCCUGGAUAGUCACCUUCAGACUUCUUUUUUGUGCGGAAAACAAAACUCCUGUUUGUUGAAGCCAGAGGAAAUCGGAUUUUUCUGUUACGUGCAGCCGAAUUUAUUUAUACACACACACACACACACACACACACACACACACAAACACACACACGUGUGUGUGUGUGUAUAUAUAUUCUUUUUGGGUUGUUUUUGUUGUUGUUGAGAGAGAGAGAGAGCACGUGUGCAUUUGCUCUAGCAGGGGAAGGGGGAGGGGGAAAAGGGAGAGAGAAAAUCAUAAGUAGGCUGCACCCCCAACCCAGGGAAGAGCUGACUUGGGGCUCUCUCAUGACUGUGAGAUCACAACCUGAGUGGAAAUCAAGAGUCUGAUACUUAACCGACUGAGCCACCCAUGCACCCCACAGCCAGAUUUAUUCUUAAGUAGCUCCCAAGCCUUGGAGGAGGGGUUGACCUUCUAGAGAUCAAUUUCACAGGAAGGAAGAAGCAGAGGUAAAUACAGAAAUAGGUUGGAAGACUUCUGACACUAACUUCUCUACAGCUGGAUAUAGCAUUAUUAUGACACUUUAAUAUAGCGGUUAUCAGCAGAGUAAGUACAAUAAGGUGAUAUAUUAUCUUUGUGGGAAUCUUCACCUGCAGUAAUGGGUUCAUUGAACCGGGGCUUUCCCAGCAUCAGCACAAUUAACGUUUGGGGCCAGAUCAUUCCUUUCUGUAGGAAAGGAAUCCUUAUAGGAUGUUUACCAGCGUGCCUGGCUUCUACCCUCUGGUGGCUGGUAGCACCCCCUCACCCUAGGUGUUGACAAACAAAAAAGUCUCCAGGCAUUACAGAAUGUCCUCUGGGGGGGAAGAGGGAGAGGCAAAGUCACACCCAGUUGAAAGCUUUUUUCUUUCAAAUAGCUAUUUAGUUUCAAUAGCUACGUAAUUUUAUCUACAAACUUUACAAUUAAUGAUAAAUUAUAUUUAAACUACAGGAAAGCAAUCUUGCUUUGUGAAGAAAGCAAUCUUUUGAUCCUUUAGGCCUACCUUCUUUUAAGUAAACAUUGAAAACAGAAUCUGCAUUUAGCAAAAAAAAAAAAAAAAAGAAUAGUAAUACAAAUCACAGAAGAAACUCUUUAAGCAUGCCUUCCGUUAAGUCAUUUUUCACCAUGUACCUCAGUUUCCAAA
Neofelis nebulosa (Clouded leopard) is the source of this 4929-nucleotide long non-coding RNA. RefSeq lists it as uncharacterized. Lineage: Eukaryota; Metazoa; Chordata; Mammalia; Carnivora; Felidae. The record is from RefSeq and is a predicted model, not a curated record. The transcript has 6 exons.